UUUAUCGUGAUUCGUCAGUGACAAAUUGCAAUAUGGCCGUCACAAUUGAACUGAAAUUGAAAAAAAUCUGCGAUGGUCUCGACGGAUCUGAAGGGCCGUCAAUACAAAUACAAAGGGAGACUUCUACGCGGUGGCACCCAUGCCAACUUUGGAAGAUGGGAGGGUCGAAGAAGCAUCUCAGUUUUUGGACAAGAUUGCCGGAAAUUUACAUAAAGUAAAUUUAGAUACUGGUGAACACAAGGUCGUAUGCACGCCUCCAUUUGACGAUUAUGGUGGAAUCUGGGUGCCAAUCUGACAAAACUGGGAAUAUUUGGAUAGCUGAUAUGAGACUUGGGAUACUAAGUAUUCACCCGAAGACGGCAAAUGCCAACAAUUGAGCAAAGUCGACAGCUCGAGGAAUGCCCUAAAUGGUUGUAAUGAUCUCGUCUUUGAUAAAGAUGGAGAUCUUUGGGUAACAGGUCCCGGAAGUCCAAUUGCACUGCACAUUCAGCCGAAGACAGAACAUCAAUAUUUCAGAAACCUUCCGGCCGUUUAUACUUUCUUGAAAAAGGAAACACAAUUCCAGUUGCAAUGGAUGAAACAUUUAGAUUUUGUAAUGGUAUUGCUAUCCACGACAAUUUGCUGCUUGUUGCUGAGACAAUGACCAGAAGCAUUAUUGCAUUUGAUGUUGUGUCGUCCGGUAAAUUAUCUAACAGAAGGGUUUGGGCAACGUUACCAAAAGCUGAUUACGACAAUCCAAUGAAUGUUGGGGGACCAGAUGGAAUGGAUUUUGAUGUCAAUGGAAAUUUACUUGUAGCACACCACGGAGGUGGUCAUCUGGAAGUAUUUUCAGCAAACGGAGUUUUAAAAACCAGAAUUCAAUGCCCGUUCAAACAAACAAGUAACUUACAUUUCAAACCUGCUUCUCGAACCUGCUAUGUUACUGAACAUGACUUUAACGGAGUUUGGGAGUUCGAGUGGGAAUGCGAGGGAAUGCCCAUGUAUCACUUCACAAGUCAAUGACCUGGUUUUUGUCUUUCACAUAUCGUGUUUAUCGUUAAGUUAUUUGCGACAAAACCCAAUAACUUGUUAGCAUUAACUUGCUAAAAUUACAGUAUUGAUACUGUUAAGCACUUUCAA
Molecule: non-coding RNA, 1119 nt
Organism: Styela clava
Lineage: Eukaryota; Metazoa; Chordata; Ascidiacea; Stolidobranchia; Styelidae
Source: RefSeq, a predicted model, not a curated record